ACAGCAAGGAGUUGCCAUGGUUGGCCAAGUAUCUAUGAUUUGUGGAUGUUCGAGUUUGGUUGCAAUCUUUUUCCUUCAUAGAUAUUGGUUCCAUAUCCUUUUUUCCCAGUCAUUUUCAGUUCACCUCAAACUUGAAGAUUCUUCACAAAAACAGUAUGAUUUUCCUUGUUAUCUAUGAGCUUGUUGAACAUUAUUUAUUGCUCAUUGGUUUCAUAUCCUUUUUUCCCAGUCAUUUUCAGUUCACCUCAAACUUGAAGAUUCUUCACAAAAACAGUAUGAUUUUCCUUGUUAUCUAUGAGCUUGUUGAACAUUAUUUAUUGGGACCAAUUCCAGAAUCUUGAUUGAAAUUGGUACGGACUUAUUUGAAUGUGUUAUGAGGAUGUUUUUCCAAUUGCCGAUUAUCG
Molecule: long non-coding RNA, 404 nt
Filed under: Nicotiana benthamiana
Lineage: Eukaryota; Viridiplantae; Streptophyta; Magnoliopsida; Solanales; Solanaceae
Description: long non-coding RNA (NBEN_LNC024404)
Source: RNAcentral